AAAAUGAUAAUAUAAUUUGCGUAAUAUGGAACGAUACAGAGAAGAUUAGCAUGGCCCCUGCGCAAGGAUGACACGCAAAAUCGUGAAGCGUUCCACAUUAAG
Non-coding RNA from Bombyx mori (domestic silkworm), 102 nucleotides. Lineage: Eukaryota; Metazoa; Arthropoda; Insecta; Lepidoptera; Bombycidae. The record is from Rfam.